UUACAGUACGUGAAAUUGUUAAAAGGGAAACAUUUGAAGUUAGACUUGUUAUUGUUGGUUCAACCUUUUUUUGAAGGUGUAUUCCAAUGGUUAACAGACCAGCAUCAAUUUUUGGGUGUUAGAUAAGGGUCUUGUGAGAAUGUAGCAACUUUGGUUGUGUUUUAUAGCUCAUGGCUUUGAUAUAAUGCUUAGGAUUGAGGAAUGCAGUGAGCUUUUUUUUAGUGGGAUGCCUUUGGGGAUCUCCUCACUACGGAUGUUGGUGUAAUAGCUUUAAAUGACCCC
Molecule: ribosomal RNA, 282 nt
Filed under: Cronartium sp.
Lineage: Eukaryota; Fungi; Basidiomycota; Pucciniomycetes; Pucciniales; Coleosporiaceae
Description: partial large subunit ribosomal RNA
Source: RNAcentral